UACAUGGGGUGCAAACGUUGCUCGGAAUUAUUGGGCGUAAAGAGCUUGUAGGCGGUUUGUCGCGUCUGCUGUGAAAUUUCGGGGCUCAACCCCGAACUUGCAGUGGGUACGGGCAGACUAGAGUGUGGUAGGGGAGACUGGAAUUCCUGGUGUAGCGGUGAAAUGCGCAGAUAUCAGGAGGAACACCGAUGGCGAAGGCAGGUCUCUGGGCCACUACUGACGCUGAGAAGCGAAAGCAUGGGGAGCGAACAGG
RNAcentral lists this ribosomal RNA (253 nucleotides) under uncultured bacterium. Its description in RNAcentral is "partial 16S ribosomal RNA". It matches the Rfam family "Bacterial small subunit ribosomal RNA", at positions 524 to 776 of the family's 1533-position model. The record is from RNAcentral.